GGGGAUGUAAUGGUUUCGACGGGGGUUUUGAACCUUGGUAAGCGAGUAGCGGCGCGGAACCGCUAUAAAAGCCGCAUCUUUAAAAUAACUGACAACAACAAAGUUGCAUUAGCUGCGUAAGCAGCUUGUCCUGACAGAGAGCACCGCGGCUCUGUUAAGGGCAUCGACCCAGCGGUAAAUGUGAACCGAAGCGUGUCUCCGCCUCGGUCAUAACGUAGAGACUACCCGAGCAUAAAGCCUGUUAUUGGGCGUUUUGCAAGGGGAAUCAUAAUACAAUAACUACACUCGUAGAAAGCCUUGGCAAAGAGCUUUCGGACGGGGGUCCGACUCCCCCCAUCUCCACCA
This 345-nucleotide transfer-messenger RNA is filed under the name Acutalibacteraceae. RNAcentral's name for it is "Ruminococcus_E sp900315785 Standard tmRNA". It matches the Rfam family "transfer-messenger RNA". Rfam says of the family: Bacterial tmRNA, also known as 10Sa RNA or SsrA, is named for its dual tRNA and mRNA-like properties. Its role is to liberate the mRNA from a stalled ribosome. The record is from RNAcentral. RNAcentral also lists the same sequence under 1 other name. Lineage: Bacteria; Bacillati; Bacillota; Clostridia; Eubacteriales.